GUGGGGAAUCUUCCGCAAUGGACGAAAGUCUGACGGAGCAACGCCGCGUGAGUGAUGAAGGUCUUCGGAUUGUAAAGCUCUGUUAAUCGGGACGAAAGAGCCUAGUGUGAAUAAUGCUAGGAAGUGACGGUACCGGAAUAGAAAGCCACGGCUAACUACGUGCCAGCAGCCGCGGUAAUACGUAGGUGGCAAGCGUUGUCCGGAAUUAUUGGGCGUAAAGCGCGCGCAGGCGGAUCUGCCAGUCUGUCUUAAAAGUUCGGGGCUUAACCCCGUGAUGGGAUGGAAACUACAGAUCUAGAGUAUCGGAGAGGAAAGUGGAAUUCCUAGUGUAGCGGUGAAAUGCGUAGAUAUUAGGAAGAACACUAGUGGCGAAGGCGACUUUCUGGACGAAAACUGACGCUGAGGCGCGAAAGCCAGGGGAGCGAACGGGAUUAGAAACCCCGGUAGUCC
Molecule: ribosomal RNA, 450 nt
Filed under: uncultured bacterium
Lineage: Bacteria
Description: partial 16S ribosomal RNA
Rfam family: Bacterial small subunit ribosomal RNA
Source: RNAcentral